Molecule: long non-coding RNA, 3657 nt
Filed under: Sus scrofa (pig)
Lineage: Eukaryota; Metazoa; Chordata; Mammalia; Artiodactyla; Suidae
Description: lncRNA (ENSSSCG00050009472.1)
Source: RNAcentral
AUUGCCCACUAUUAUGUGUCUAUCUAUGAGAUAUGAAUAUUACAUGGAUUCUAAGAUUUCAUAUAAAAAUAACUCAGAGCCAGAUUAUAGAAGGGAUUACUUGUAAACAGUACAAGUUAGGACAAUCACCCCCAGAAAGGGAUUAAUCAACUUCAAACACAUAACUUGACCUCACGAUAAUGCUUACCCACAGAUAAGCAUAUCUCUCUUUGGAGAGUAGAUUUUUUAAAUGCAGGUCACACAGUGAUCCCUAAGUAGAUCCUAUAAAACAUUUUUUAAACUACCCUAUCUGGUAUCAUUAUAAAGUAUAAUCAAGUCCCAGUGUUAUCAUCACUACUGAAGCCUGUAGUAGAAUUAAUUGUUCUUCAUUUCGAGUCAAAAAUAGGCUUUUUAUAAGGAAACCUAAAUUAAAGCAUUCAAAAAGUUCCCAUUUUGAAUAGUUAAGCACAUUAUUAGUAAUUGGGAUGUAAGCACUCAUUGAUUUUAAUCUUUUGUUCAUGCUUGGUUUCUAUUCUUUCGGUUGUGAAUCCAUAUAUGUACCACAUAUAUAGCCAAGGCCGCACUAAGUAAUGCGGGUUUCUGCAAGCUGAGAUAUAGUGUUUAUAAAAUGUAUAAAAAUGGUAACACAAUAAAUUUGUAUGUUAUAUAGGAAUAAAUGAAUUCGGGUUUAAAAAGUUUUAAAUUGUAGUAAAUACAUUCAAGCAUGUAUAGAUAGUAAAUUUUAUUAUAUGUUUUUUACAUAUAGAAAAUAAAAUUUUACCAACUUAACAAUUUUUUAAAUUUUUAAAUUAAAUAUAGUUGAUUUGCAAUGUUGUGUCAAUUUCUGCUGUAUGGCAAAGUGACCCAUUAUACAUAUAUGUGCAUUCUUUUUCUCAUAUUAUCUUCCAUCAUGUUCAAUCACAAGAGAUUGGACAUAGUGCCCUGUGCAGUACAGUAGGACCUCCUUGCUUAUCCAUUCUAAGCAUAAUAGUUAGCAUCUACUAACCCCAAAUGGGACGGACUGGGAGUUUGGGGUUAGUAGAUGCCAAUUUAGCAGUUUUUAAGUGUGCAGUUCAAUAGUGUUAAGUGCAGUCACAGUUGUUGGGCAGCCAAUAGACAGAUCUCUUUUCAUCUUGCAAAACUAAACGUAUCCCAUGAAAUAACAACUGCCCAUUCUCCCCUCACUCUAGCCCCAGGCAACAACAAUUCUAUUUUCCGUCUAUGAAUUUGACUUCUCCAGCUACCUCCUAUAAGUGGAAUAUUACAGUUUUUGUCCUUUUGCAGCUGGCUUAUUUCACUUGGCAUAGCGCCCUCACAUUUCACUCACGUUGUAGCACGUGUCAGCAUUUCCUUCCAUUUUAAGGCUGAGUAAUAUUCCUUUGUAUGUGUAUAAUACGUUUUGUUUAUCUAUUCAGUCACUGAUGGACUCUUGGGUUGCUUCUGCCUUUUGGUUAUUGUGCAUAAUGCUGUUGGGCACAUGGGUUUACAAAUAUUCCUUUGAGGCUCUGCUUUCAGUUCUUUUGGGUAUAUACCCAGUAGUGGGAUUCUACUUUUAAUUUUUUGAGGAACAACCAUACUCUUCACCAUAGUGGCAAGACCACUUUACAUCCCUGCCAAUAGUGCACAAGAUUCUACUUUCUCUACAUUUGCUAUUUUCCGAGUUUUUAGAACUAUGAAUUAGGCGUUAACUAGCAACUUUGAAUCUAUGAUACCCUCUGGGGAAAAAAUCUGAGCUUUUUCCUUUCUAUAGGAAAAGAUGGUUAAAGUUGAAAGUGAAGAAAAUGAAACUUUUCUAACAACUCUAUAUCAUCAUUAAGCCCUGAUACCCUUCCGCCUCAAAAUGUCUGACAUGUGCUUUGUACAAAGUAUGUGCUUAGGAAAUAAUAAAUGAGAUAAAAUGUUUGAAUUUCUCACAGAGUUUUAGAAUUCAAGGUGAAUUUCAAGAUUCCUCAUGGUAAAGGACAUACACUUUUAGGUUAUCUGCCCUCGUCUGUCUGAUGAAUGUUGCCUCACUUGAUAAACCACUUCUUCUGGUUGUUGUGGGGAUUAAAUGAAUAAUGCACAUAAGGCACCCAGAAUGGCCCAUUAUAAAUUUAAUAAAUAUUAGCUAUUCUGGUUUCCAAAUCAGUGCCUUGCUUCAAGAUCCCAAUACUUGGAUUCCUUGCUUAUAAAAUGGAGAUGGAGAGAAAAACCUAUUUUGCAGUGUUAUUGUAAACAUAAAAUAAGGUAAUAUAUGGAGAAAUGCUUUGUAAGCUAUUCAUUCUAUAUGAAUUUGAGAAGUUCCAUGAUCCCAUAUGAAUUUUCUAGUCCUGUUAUUCCACUAGAGACCCUUAUAUGUGAUAUGUUCUGGCCAAAUUAGGCCUCUCAUACAUCUCUGAACUCAGCUUAUAAUUUUUGUUAGAUCAGUACCAUAACAGAGACCGAAAAAUAAGCUAAGAAUUACGUUAAACAAAUAGGACCUCAAAGUUAGAUUAUUUUACCUAUUAAUUCUUUUAAACUCUUAAUAACAAAAAUCCUCAUACUAUAUAAACAAUUAACAUCAUUUAAGAAAAUCUUUUUAAAAAUUCCAGUUUAUUUAAUGAAGCUAGCAAAACCAGAGAACAAAAAUAUGUUAAAGUCUUUUUAAAAUAAAAACAAACAAAUAAAUUUGGCUAAUUUUAUUUUUUACAUUACUGCAACAAUAACAUAAAUACAAAUAAGUAAAGCUCAAUGGUUUGUUUAAACCACAUUUCUCAAAAUUUGGUCUGUAUAUCGCAUGUUAGAAUCAUGGUGGUAGAGAAUUUUACUUCUAAAAAUUCAAAUUCUCAGCCUCAUUCCAGACCUACUGAAUCAGAAUCUCCAACGGUGUUGAUAGACUCUGCACCUUAAGCAUAUGUCCCAGGUGAUUUUUACGCAAACCAAGUGAAAAAUACUACAUUGACAUAAUCUGUCAUAACUAUAGAGUAUUUCUAUCAAUUAUAAAUCCAGGGGGUUCCUGUUGUGGCUCAAUGGGUUAAGAACCCUACUAGCAUCCGUGAGGAUGUGGGUUUGAUCCGUGGCUUUCACCCAGUGGGUUGCCCUAAGCUGCAGCAUAGGUCACAGAUGCGGCUCAGAUGUGGCGUUGCUGUGGCUGUGAUGUAGGCUGGCAGCUGUAGCUCUGAUUCAACCCCUAGCCUGGGAACCUCCAUGUGCCGCAGGUGCAGCCCUAUGAAGGAAAAAAAAAAAAAAAGAAAUCCAAGAAAUUAUUAACAUCAAGACACUUAGUAAUAUAAAGAUUUAUUUCAAUAAACCCAAAAGGAAAAAAAAAAUCCACAGGAUAGAUGCUAAAAAGUUAGUCAAUAAAAUUCAACACCUAUUCCUGUUUAAAUAUAUCCAAAAACCGAAGAAAGCAUCCUCAAAAUUAUAGAGAAUAAUGACUUUAAAGCAACAUUAUUAAACAUAACGUUGCCUGGCUUUUUAAAAAAUGAAAACAUUAGCAGUAUUCUUAUUAAUGGACUAAAUAAGAAUAUUAGAAAUCUCCUGGAGUUCCCGCUGUGGUGCAACUGGAUCGGCAGCAUCUCUGCAGCGCCAGGGUGCAGGUUGCAUCCCAGGCGCAGCACAGUGGGUUAAAAGAUCCAACAGUAUUGCAGCUGCAGCAUAGGUCAAAACACUGGCUUGGAGCUGAUCCCUGGUCCAGGGACUCUAUGCUGCGAGGGGGAC